Molecule: unclassified non-coding RNA, 324 nt
Filed under: soil metagenome
Description: partial contains 5.8S ribosomal RNA, internal transcribed spacer 2, and large subunit ribosomal RNA
Rfam family: 5.8S ribosomal RNA (bases 1-120)
Source: RNAcentral
GAUGAAGAACGCAGCGAAAUGCGAUAAGUAAUGCGAAUUGCAGAAUUCAGUGAGUCAUCGAAUCUUUGAACGCGCAUUGCGCCCUGUGGUAUUCCGCAGGGCAUGCCUGUUCGAGCGUCAUUUCAACCCUCAAGCCCCGCUUGGUGUUGGGCCCCGCCCGCUGUGGCCGGCCCUAAAGACAGUGGCGGCGCCGCCUGGCCCUCAGCGUAGUACAUCUCUCGCUCCAGGGUCCGGUGGCCGCCUGCCAGAACCCCCCAACUCUGUGGUUGACCUCGGAUCAGGUAGGGAUACCCGCUGAACUUAAGCAUAUCAAUAAGCGGAGGA